This 72-nucleotide transfer RNA is filed under the name Crassadoma gigantea. RNAcentral describes it as "tRNA-Met". Lineage: Eukaryota; Metazoa; Mollusca; Bivalvia; Pectinida; Pectinidae. The record is from RNAcentral.
AGUGGGAUAAUAUAAUGAGUAUGGUGGGUUCAUGCCCCACUUGUGGGAGGUUCGAUUUCCUCCCUCCUGCUU